Molecule: non-coding RNA, 29 nt
Filed under: Mus musculus (house mouse)
Lineage: Eukaryota; Metazoa; Chordata; Mammalia; Rodentia; Muridae
Source: RNAcentral
UGACCUCAGGGCUGCGAGACCCUCGAUUU